Molecule: non-coding RNA, 3129 nt
Organism: Vicugna pacos (alpaca)
Lineage: Eukaryota; Metazoa; Chordata; Mammalia; Artiodactyla; Camelidae
Source: RefSeq, a predicted model, not a curated record
AAUUUAAAAAUGAGAGGAUUCUGUAUUGAAAUUGUUUUUCAAGAGUCUUUAAGAUCUCAUGCUGCUUUAAAGAAAUUGAAAUUUGAAAUUGUAGAUAACACAUUACAGGUGUGAUUUAUGCCAAAAAAAGAAAAAAAGGGAGACAACCAGAAUCCCCAGUGAGGGCACCACCCUCAGAGGAAAGGCUUGGGUCCUGUGUCAAAAUACUGGCUAGUAAGUGACCAUAUAUGUGUUUUAAGGUAAAAUACAAUGUUUAAAAAUUUAUAUAAUUUCUUAAUCAUUGAUUCGUCCAUUUAACAUAUAUUUAUCAAGUACCUACUACGUGUCAGUAUUGUAGAACUUAGAAAUGAUUAAGACCAACUGAGUCCCUGUGCUCAGAGGGUUCACUGGGGUCCGGGAGACGGCUGGACACGUGCGGAAUGUACCCGGUCACCCGCUGUGUGAGCCGUGCAGGCGGGCAGAGCCGGGUGGGGGUGAGGGGGCUGCCGUGGGGAUGGCGCUGUGAGGAGGCGAGGCUGGAGCACAGAUGGCACCACGUGGGGGCUAUCAGGAGAUGGAAGGGAGCCUCCCUGGGGCAGAGGGACCAAGGGGGAAGGCUCCCAGCCGGGCCUGAGCUGGAACAGCGGGAAGGCCAUCUGCCGGGAGGGGCAGGUAGGAGGGGAGCACUCAGGGGUGUCAGCAAUCUAACUGGAGAAAAAGAGGUUCUAGGAAGCUUCCAGGCCCGGCUGGGUCCCCAGCGCGGACUGGAAGUCUCCCGCGUCCCAUCCCCUCUGGGGACCAGGUGCUUCUGCUGAGCAAUGGAGGGGGCGUGGUUCUGAGACUCCACGCCAUGGCCUGGCUUUAAUUUUCUGCCGUUUCUGCCUCCACCCCUCCGAACCGUCCUUUGGGAACAGAUGAUGCCAAAAGGGAUCGAGAACUACCUCUUCCUCCACUGUCACGUGUGCUGCCAGGGACACAGAGAAGAGGACAGAUGCUCGCUCUUGCCUCCAGGAUGUCACAACCUCGGGCUGGGCUGCCGCAGCUCCUUCUUUUUAAGCAAGUUCCUACCUCCAGCUUAGUCUGAGAGUGGACGGGAGUCCCGGCAAUCCAGGUGAGAAGAAAGAUAAGCUCAGGGAUGGCCGUGAAGGGUUGGGGACAGAGCAGCUGGAGACCCCCUCUUAUGACUGGAUGGUGGGGCCCCCUCUCCUGCACCAACCCUCCAGCUGGAGGAGGGGCUCCCCUCCAGGAGAGUCUGGAGCUGCGGACUAGGGGAGACUUGGAAACCUGUAGUCCCCGUGGCCUUGUUGUUACAGGCAAGAGGUGACUUUUGACUCGUUAUUGAGUGAUUCAGGGUCUAUUUUGCUACAGAAAUACAUACAAAGUCGCCAGGCAAAGCACAGAGCAAAGUAGCUUCUCAAGGCACAUAAGCCUCCAACUAUGAUUGUUUUUGCCUUGGAGUUGCUUUCAGUUUUAUUAAAAACAAAACAAAACAAAACAAAAUCAAAAUUCGGCUGAGUAAACUUGAAGAUCUGAUUGGCUCUAUUAGGCAAUUCAUAGUUGGGGCAGCAUCCCACCCAUAGUUGGGAUGAGGCGGGGCUCCAAGGGGCUGUCCAAAGUGGAGGGUUUUUAUAGGCAGGAGGGUGGGGCCAGAGGAUGAGCAGCAAAAGAAAAGAAAGGACUGUUUCAGGUCAGGAGGGCUUCUUUUGCCUGAAGGGAAGGCAGGGGUCUUACUAGGAAAAUUAUCUCACCAGCCUUGAUCUGGAAAUUUCAGACUGACUGUUUUAAAGGUGGUAUUUCUGGGAGGGGUUGAAACGGCAAUUAAGUCUUGGUUUGCUGAGAGGGUGUGGGUGGGGUGCAAAGGAUUCCAUUUGGGGACUUGGUUUUUUUUUAACAGCUUUCUCAACCAGUGUCUCUCAUAUUUUGCAGAGUCCUCUGCCCUCAAUUAACAGGGUGGGGACCAGGGAGCAGCUUGGCUUCCUUACAGAGUGUUUCGUCACACUAAUUUCUGCUCCCAAGUUAAUGAAUUUCAGGCAAAUUUUUCACCAUGUGCACAGAGUGAACGCUUGGGUGACAUUUUUACAGGCACCCAAAAUACUUUCUAUAAUACUGUUAGCGAAUAAGAAAAUGACAGCCCACUAGUCAUCAAAACCACGCCUAGGAUUUCCAAUGUUUAAGAACUGCCUGGCUCAGGGGGUGCUGAACGCAGGGUUUCCAGCUGAAACGGUGCUACUGCUGUGAUAUUGUAUGUGAUAAAAAUAUGUAUUUGGUUUUGUCCCAUGUUCCUGGCACAGGGCUUCCAGGACCCUUGGAACUUCCUGAGUGAUGGAGGUGAUGGGGACACCUUCACCUGGCUUUAGUCAUUCACAGCCAGCCCCUUGGAGGAUGGGGCUGGUUGCUAGAGGAACCUACCAGUGAUUAAAGGGUUAGACCUUUCAGCCUCACUCCACCCCUGUGGAGGGGAGAGGAGCUGGUGACUGAGUUCUGCUACGGAAGCCAGUGAUGUAAUCGGUCAUGCCUUUGUAAUGAAGCCUCCCUAAAAACCCGAACUCAAGGGCCUUGGAGAGCCUCCAGGUAACUGAACACCUGGAGGUGCUGGGAGGGCCGUGCACCUGGACCGCUCCAGGCUCCGCUCCACACACCUUACCCAGGGCAUCCCUUCUGCCUGGCAGCUCCUGAGCUCAAGCCUUUAUAAUAAAUGGAUAACAGUUAAGUCACCUGUUUCCCUGGGUUCUGUGAGCUGUCCUGGUAAAUUACUGAACCUGAGGAGGGGGUUGUGGGAACCUCCAGUUUGUAGCCAAGUUGGGCAGAAGUUGUGGAAAAAUCAGGGACCCACUCCUUGUGGCUGGUGUCUGAGGCUGGGGGCAGUCUUGUGGGACUGAGCCCUUAACCUCAGAGUCUGGGUUAAUUCUGGGCAGUCUGUGUCAGAACUGAGUUAAAUUGUAGGACACCCAGUCAGUGCUGCUUGGUUUGGAAAAACCCACACUUUGGUAUCUGAAGUAUAUGAAAGCUGAGGUUUUUCUUUUAACUCUGGUUAGUAGUAUAAACACCACUUGUAACCUCCCUGUCCUACCAGCUUUGAAAUCGUGUGAAUCUUGACAAAUUCUUACAACUCAGAGCCAUUUGAAUCACUUCAAAGUUUGCAAACAAAGU